UACGAAGGGGGCUAGCGUUGCUCGGAAUCACUGGGCGUAAAGGGUGCGUAGGCGGGUCUUUAAGUCAGGGGUGAAAUCCUGGAGCUCAACUCCAGAACUGCCUUUGAUACUGAAGAUCUUGAGUUCGGGAGAGGUGAGUGGAACUGCGAGUGUAGAGGUGAAAUUCGUAGAUAUUCGCAAGAACACCAGUGGCGAAGGCGGCUCACUGGCCCGAUACUGACGCUGAGGCACGAAAGCGUGGCGAGCAAACAGG
RNAcentral lists this ribosomal RNA (253 nucleotides) under uncultured bacterium. Its description in RNAcentral is "partial 16S ribosomal RNA". It matches the Rfam family "Bacterial small subunit ribosomal RNA", at positions 524 to 776 of the family's 1533-position model. The record is from RNAcentral.